UACGAACCGUCCAAACGUUAUUCGGAAUCACUGGGCUUAAAGGGUGCGUAGGCGGCUUGGUAAGUUGGGUGUGAAAUACCUCGGCUCAACCGAGGAAUUGCGCUCAAAACUGUCAAGCUCGAGGGAGACAGAGGUAAGCGGAACUUAGGGUGGAGCGGUGAAAUGCGUUGAUAUCCUAAGGAACACCGGUGGCGAAAGCGGCUUACUGGGUCUCUUCUAACGCUGAGGCACGAAAGCUAGGGGAGCGAACGGG
This 253-nucleotide ribosomal RNA is filed under the name uncultured bacterium. Its description in RNAcentral is "partial 16S ribosomal RNA". It matches the Rfam family "Bacterial small subunit ribosomal RNA", at positions 524 to 776 of the family's 1533-position model. The record is from RNAcentral.